Molecule: long non-coding RNA, 536 nt
Filed under: Pogona vitticeps (central bearded dragon)
Lineage: Eukaryota; Metazoa; Chordata; Lepidosauria; Squamata; Agamidae
Description: lncRNA (ENSPVIG00000016693.1)
Source: RNAcentral
CCCCCCCCCCCCCCCCCCCGCCGUCUCCCAGUCCAGCCCUCUCUCUUCCUUUCCUUCCCCCCUCCUCUUCGCCCUGCUCGCGGGGCAACACGAGCCAGGCUGGCGGCGGCGGCGGCGGCGGCGAGGGAUGGCCUCGUCUUCCCACCUGGAGAAAGCGGGGAGAAAAACAGCCUCAGAGAGACCCUGUCCCAGUCCGGAGCGGUGCACUGUUUUUUUUUUUCUCAGAAGGAAAACGUGUCCCGAAGGUUCUGAAUUCACGUGUGCUUAAAAAACGAAUCGGUGUCCGCAUUUCAGAAGGACUUCUCUCCGCGUUUAAAGAAAACGUGCUUUACCGGCAUUAGUCCAGUCAAGCUACUGCAGGACAUACAGCUAAUGAUUAUUUUAACAUGCCUAUAACAUUUUGUGUGAUUGUUGCAACAUUUGCAAUUUGGCAUCAAGUGUUUGCUUUGCUUAUGAUAGCAUUUUCAAAGCUCAAGCGGUUGUGUGAUAUAGAAAUGUUAUUAAUUCAUUAAUAAAAAUUAAGCACCUAGGAAUCA